This is a long non-coding RNA of Pteropus alecto (black flying fox), 1017 nucleotides long. RefSeq lists it as uncharacterized. The record is from RefSeq and is a predicted model, not a curated record. The transcript has 2 exons. NCBI's taxonomy places the organism in Eukaryota, Metazoa, Chordata, Mammalia, Chiroptera, Pteropodidae.
AAGUUCUGGUGCUGGGGACCCCUCCCACCUGGGAGGAACCAGACGAGUCCUCAAUGCCGCCUGCUGGCGCGGAAUGAAUGAACAAAGAGGCCCCAGCCUUCUCCCCCCACUCGGGCACCCCACCUUGUGGAACGGCUACUGGGUCCCGGGUCGGGGUCCUGCCAUCCCCUCCUUCCCUGGAUCCCCUACUCCCCAUGCCGGGUAGAAUUUCCAGGUAAAUUACAGAAUGCCAAGUUACAUUUGAAUUUCAGGAGUGAAAUUGCUGGUUCACAUGAGAACUCUAUAUUUAACUUUUUGAGGACCUGUCACGGAUUAUGAGGAGUGUUUUACCUACGUUAUACAUCAGAUCUUCACAAUGAAUCUGCCAAGGAGAAACCAACCCCUUUUUGGAGAUGAGAAAACUGAGGCUCAAAGAUGUAGAGAUAUGCGUCCAGGCGUAUGGCUGGCACAUGACAGAACCUAUCCUGCUGGGCUCAGCUCUCCCCCAGUCUCAUCCCUUCUGGCUGGGGUGACUAUUCUCCAGGAAGCUCCUGCAUCUCAUAUUCCCUAUUCCUCUGAGGCAGCUCCACCAGGCUCAGAGGCAGCUCUGGAAGUGGCAGAUGAAUACAUGGGCUCAGAAGGCUGGAAGAGGAAGAGCCCUGUGAACCCCAUCACCUGAAGGAUGUCCAGAGCAAACUGGCAAAGGAAGCUGAGAGCAAGAGAGAGGGGUGGAGCUGUGGGAAGUUUGGAAGACUUGGCCAGGUGUCUCUGGGGUUUCCACUUUGGGUCCAGGGACAGGUCCUAAGCUGUUUGCCUUUCCUGUGGGGGUUAUGAGUAGAGCCUGGGGCCUGCACAUGUCCCAUACCUAGGGGUAAAUGACAGACUGGGCCAGGCUCCUCACCCAGCCUGUGCAAUUCCAACAUCUCUGCUGAGCAGGAACGGGGGGACGGGAUGCAUAGAUGUGCAUUCCCUCUUAUGUAUCAAACAUCAGCUGAGCACUUUACAGAUGUGGCAUAAAUGAGAAUGAUAGAAACCAUA